CCCGCUGAACUUAAGCAUAUCAAUAAGCGGAGGAAAAGAAACCAACCGGGAUUGCCUCAGUAACGGCGAGUGAAGCGGCAAGAGCUCAAAUUUGAAAGCUGGCUCCUUCGGGGUCCGCAUUGUAAUUUGCAGAGGAUGCUUCGGGUGCGGCCCCUGUCUAAGUGCCCUGGAACGGGCCGUCAGAGAGGGUGAGAAUCCCGUCUGGGAUGGGGUGUCCGCGCCCGUGUGAAGCUCCUUCGACGAGUCGAGUUGUUUGGGAAUGCAGCUCUAAAUGGGUGGUAAAUUUCAUCUAAAGCUAAAUACUGGCCGGAGACCGAUAGCGCACAAGUAGAGUGAUCGAAAGAUGAAAAGCACUUUGAAAAGAGAGUUAAAAAGCACGUGAAAUUGUUGAAAGGGAAGCGCUUGCGACCAGACUCGCCUCCAGGGUUCAGCCGGCAUUCGUGCCGGUGUACUUCCCUGGGGGCGGGCCAGCGUCGGUUUGGGCGGCCGGUCAAAGGCUCCCGGAAUGUAGUGCCCUCCGGGGCACCUUAUAGCCGGGAGUGCAAUGCGGCCAGCCUGGACCGAGGAACGCGCUUCGGCACGGACGCUGGCAUAAUGGUCGUAAACGACCCGUCUUG
RNAcentral lists this ribosomal RNA (617 nucleotides) under Aspergillus parasiticus. RNAcentral's name for it is "eukaryotic LSU rRNA". It matches the Rfam family "Eukaryotic large subunit ribosomal RNA", at positions 24 to 656 of the family's 3401-position model. Lineage: Eukaryota; Fungi; Ascomycota; Eurotiomycetes; Eurotiales; Aspergillaceae. The record is from RNAcentral.